CAGGAAUGGCGGCAUGCUAUACAUGCAGUCGAGCGAGAUCUAAUAUGGAGAGCUUGCUUCCCUUUAAGUUAGCGGCGGACGGGUGAGUAACACGUGGGCAACCUGCCUGUAAGACUGGGAUAACUUCGGGAAACCGGAGCUAAUACCGGAUAAUAUAAAGAACCACAUGGUUCUCUAUUAAAAGAUGGUUUCGGCUAUCACUUACAGAUGGGCCCGCGGCGCAUUAGCUAGUUGGUGAGGUAACGGCUCACCAAGGCAACGAUGCGUAGCCGACCUGAGAGGGUGAUCGGCCACACUGGGACUGAGACACGGCCCAGACUCCUACGGGAGGCAGCAGUAGGGAAUCUUCCGCAAUGGACGAAAGUCUGACGGAGCAACGCCGCGUGAACGAUGAAGGCCUUCGGGUCGUAAAGUUCUGUUGUUAAGGAAGAACAAGUACGAGAGUAACUGCUCGUACCUUGACGGUACUUAACCAGAAAGCCACGGCUAACUACGUGCCAGCAGCCGCGGUAAUACGUAGGUGGCAAGCGUUAUCCGGAAUUAUUGGGCGUAAAGCGCGCGCAGGCGGUCUCUUAAGUCUGAUGUGAAAGCCCCCGGCUCAACCGGGGAGGGUCAUUGGAAACUGGGAGACUUGAGUGCAGAAGAGGAGAGUGGAAUUCCACGUGUAGCGGUGAAAUGCGUAGAGAUGUGGAGGAACACCAGUGGCGAAGGCGACUCUCUGGUCUGUAACUGACGCUGAGGCGCGAAAGCGUGGGGAGCGAACAGGAUUAGAUACCCUGGUAGUCCACGCCGUAAACGAUGAGUGCUAAGUGUUAGAGGGUUUCCGCCCUUUAGUGCUGCAGCAAACGCAUUAAGCACUCCGCCUGGGGAGUACGGUCGCAAGACUGAAACUCAAAGGAAUUGACGGGGGCCCGCACAAGCGGU
Molecule: ribosomal RNA, 924 nt
Filed under: Litchfieldia alkalitelluris
Lineage: Bacteria; Bacillati; Bacillota; Bacilli; Caryophanales; Bacillaceae
Description: bacterial SSU rRNA
Rfam family: Bacterial small subunit ribosomal RNA
Source: RNAcentral